GGAGGAUUGGCCGAGUGGAUUAAGGCAGCUGUCUUGAAAACAGCAGGCGCCUAACAAGCGUCCGUGCGUUCGAAUCGUACAUCCUCCGCCA
This 91-nucleotide transfer RNA is filed under the name Thermoproteota archaeon. RNAcentral describes it as "Crenarchaeota archaeon (anaerobic digester metagenome) tRNA-Ser". It matches the Rfam family "tRNA". From Rfam's summary of the family: Transfer RNA (tRNA) molecules are approximately 80 nucleotides in length. Their secondary structure includes four short double-helical elements and three loops (D, anti-codon, and T loops). The record is from RNAcentral. Lineage: Archaea; Thermoproteati; Thermoproteota.